AUUGAACGCUGGCGGCAUGCCUUACACAUGCAAGUCGAACGGCAGCGGGCCUUCGGGUGCCGGCGAGUGGCGAACGGGUGAGUAAUGCAUCGGAACGUGCCAUUGAGUGGGGGAUAACGUAGCGAAAGUUGCGCUAAUACCGCAUAUUCUGUGAGCAGGAAAGCAGGGGACCGCAAGGCCUUGCGCUCUUUGAGCGGCCGAUGUCAGAUUAGCUAGUUGGUGAGGUAAAGGCUUACCAAGGCGACGAUCUGUAGCGGGUCUGAGAGGAUGAUCCGCCACACUGGAACUGAGACACGGUCCAGACUCCUACGGGAGGCAGCAGUAGGGAAUUUUGGACAAUGGGGGCAACCCUGAUCCAGCCAUGCCGCGUGAGUGAAGAAGGCC
RNAcentral lists this ribosomal RNA (384 nucleotides) under uncultured bacterium. Its description in RNAcentral is "bacterial SSU rRNA". It matches the Rfam family "Bacterial small subunit ribosomal RNA", at positions 30 to 416 of the family's 1533-position model. The record is from RNAcentral.